RNAcentral lists this long non-coding RNA (2678 nucleotides) under Homo sapiens (human). RNAcentral describes it as "non-protein coding lnc-SERPINI1-23:3". The record is from RNAcentral. Lineage: Eukaryota; Metazoa; Chordata; Mammalia; Primates; Hominidae.
AGACCCCCAAAAGAGGCUGCAGAUUCUUAGUGGACAGCUCUCAUAUCCCCUCCAGGGAAAAUGAUGAAAAAUGUCUUCAGAAAAAUAGCUUUAUGAAGGCAAGAGGACUUUUUGCACCUGCAAGACAUGUCUGAAAGCUCCUCAGGUCAAAACACAAGUAGUCAAGAGAUUUGUCCAUCUAAUUCAUCAUACUACUCUGAUCCAAGUGAGACCCACACUGGGUCAGCUCCAUCAAGGAGAAGAACAUUCCACCCACGUUUGGAUUCUGGAAUAUCAUCCUUGCUUCCAUCAGAUUCUUGUAAGUACCUCACUUGGCACAAGGUAGACAUGACGUUCAAGGAAGUCAACUGCGUUGCCCAAGAGUAAGAGAAGGUAAAAGAAUAAAUGUGUGCCUUUUUCGUGUACAUCCUCUGAAUAGAAUUUUUUGUGGAUUAAAAGACAUUACUUGAAGAAAAAAAAAAGACACCAUUUGGAGGAAUCUCUGAAGAAGAGCAACUUUUCAGACAGGUAGAGUGUGCCUUGCUCCCAAGGAAAAGAGUUCUUGAAAAAAACAAAUGGGAAACAUGGCUACAAGAAAACUGGGAAGACUGCAAGAAUUUGAACAUUUCAUUUCAGGGUUUGGGGGAUCCUUACCAAGUUGAAAAUUUUAACAGAAUUCUUAGAAGACUAAUUCGAGUUGAAACCCUCUGGUUAGUGGAUAAUUCACUGGUGGACUUAAGUGCCAUAAGAUUGCCAAGAGUAUUCUCCUGUUUGCCAAACUUAAAAAUGCUGGAUGGAAUCUUGAAGCUACCAGAAGAUUGCUUAUCACCAGAAACCAAUAUUUUUUCAAAAAUAUGCCUUGUAUCCUAAUGCAGUCUGUAUAGAAAGAAAGCAAUCAUCAUUGUUGCUAAAAGCUAAUAAACACAGGACAUGCAUGAUUAAAUAUUGCAGUUUAUUUUAUAUCUUUUUGCUUUUCUAAAUCAAGGCAAAAACAUGCUAACUGACAAGAAAAUCAUGGGUUUUAUACAAGGAUAACAAGUGCUGGGUUGCUUAGCUAUGAGGAAGGCUAGGCUCACUGCAUACCAGAAGAUGUACAGCGUUGGAGAAUUCAGGGAUUUUUAUCAACAAUCAAACUAUAUUUGUGGAAAUUUUGUGCAUAAGUGCCAAAGAUGGCUGACAUCGGACCACAUUCUAUUUAACUCAACUGAAUGACACCAAGCUCUCAUCCUAAAACUUAUAGUUACAUCCACCCUUCUGAAAUAUUUAAUUAUUCUCCAAUACACUGGAGGUAAUAGGUAUAAAAAGAAUGAGCAUGUGCAACUUAGUAUCUCAUAUCUAAUUUUGUGUCCCAAGUUCAUUCUUCCCCUGAAUGUCCCAUGUCUACCAGGUGCAGGAUUAUCUGGAUGGGUCAGUUCAAAACAAUUUCAGGGAAUAAAUUGUGUAGGGGACUCAAUUUUCUGAGACAGAAACAUAAUGUGAAUAACUCCUUUGUUAGAAAAUAAUUUCAGUGACAGAAAGCCUUUCAGUUCAUAAAGAAAACUUACAUAUCAACAAGCCUAGCUCCUCACUAGUCCCAGUGAAUGCUUACAUCAAUCAGCUCUACAAUAUCCAGUAAAGGACUUUCCAAUUCGCCUUUGAAUAAACUGAGGUAUUGGAAACAUCUAAGAAAAUGGUUUUUAAUUCUUCCUAAUCUUCAGGGAGUUCUUCCUUAUAUUGAGCUGAUAUCUGCCCUCUGUAACUUUCAACUAAUUAUUCAAAUCUCUCAAGUGAUUAUAAUUAAUUCCAUCUUAUAAGGAAUUUUUCUCAGCUUCCAGCCUCUUGAAAAUACUCUGAUAUUUUCUCUAAUAUUCAAGUGGAAAUGUAAAUGGGUAACGUAAGAGUCUGUGGGGUUAGGAGGGUGGAGGAAAGGUAAGGGAAAGCUAAUGAGAAAUAACCAAAGCAAGAAAAAGAAUUUUAUUUUCUUCAAGUUCUUUGUACAUCCAAAGUGGAAGAUUCCUAAAAUAAAUUCCCCAUACCACAUUUUAAAAAUUAGGUUAGCAAGCUUACUUUUUAAUUUAUUUAGAAGCCAACUACUUCCAUUUAUUAUUUCUUUCCAGAAUAGAACAAUUAUCACUAAUUGUUUGUCAUUAUAAUGCCAAACUAUGUUAAUAGAUGCCUAUUUUUUUAAAGGCUAAUUGCAAUCAUGAAACCAAAUAUCUAAUUAGUUUUAGAGCUUUGGACCACAUGCAUCAAUAUUUGAAUCAUUCAGGUGUAUAUUUGCUUUCUGCUUUUUUGUCUCUUCAAAAGAAGUAUUAUAUGCAUUCUGUUUAUAAUUUCUAAAUGGUCAUUUCAAAACUGAUUAUACGAGUUUAUACAAAUCAUACUGAAAUUUGUUGCUUAAAAAAUCUUCAUUUUUCUCUAAGCUCUCAGUGUCCUUGAGCUAUAUAUAUUUUAUGGCAAUUUUUACUUAAUAGUUUGUAUGCUAGUUAUUUUUGACAAUGACUACUAAAAUGCAAGUUUCUUCAAGGGCAGAUUCACCUUAGUUCUUCUUUAUACCCCUCAAAAACCUCAGGGUUAUUCUCAAUAAGUAUUGAGUAGGUGAGUGAACUUUGGAUGUAUACUCCUUGAAAUUAUAUUUCUGGAGCUGGAAAACUUUAAAAAAAUGUAUGUCAUGAGUCUAAAGAAAUAAACAUUAUAUGGCUGAAAAAAUACUUUGUGAA